RNA transcript from Vigna radiata var. radiata (mung bean), 1608 nucleotides. It is a transcript of the gene named ubiquitin carboxyl-terminal hydrolase 3-like, with no coding region annotated. Lineage: Eukaryota; Viridiplantae; Streptophyta; Magnoliopsida; Fabales; Fabaceae. The record is from RefSeq and is a predicted model, not a curated record. The transcript has 7 exons.
UUUGUUUUGUGUUGAAUCUCUUUCGAACCCUAACUCGAAGUCUCUUCUCACAGACUGAAACUCUCCUCUUUUGAAUAUAUGGAGGAGCAUAGUGCAAGGAAGGUAAUAGAAUGAACGGCGGCGGAAAACGCGAUUAAGGAUUGCGUUACACAUGGGAGGAGGCAUAGUCCCAUAUCUCAAUGAUACGGUCUCCCGAAUGUCAAAACCCUAAACCCCUCUCUCCAAUGCCCCGACCUCUCCAUCAUCGUUCACUCCUCACACUUUUUCCUCACUCUCACAACUUCCUCUCGCUCCCUUAGGGUUCCGCUUCCAACCAUCAUGCUCGAUGGCGACUCUCCAAUAACUCUCCAAUAAGAGCAAUUAGAAAGAAAUUAGAAUGGCCACCCUAGACGAAUGCCCAUCUGCGAAAAGGUGGCUUCCUCUUGAAGAUAACCUAGAUGUCAUGAACCAGGCAUGAAUUUAAGUGUUUUCUUGGAUGAAUUACAGUUCUUCUGGGGUCUUGGCCUUCUAAUGGAAGAGGUAGAGUUUUGUGAUGUUUUUGGCUUGGAUGAAGAGCUUCUGGAAAUGGUUCCAAAUCCAGUUCUUGUUGUGCUUUUUCUUUAUCCCAUUACCGCAAAGACUGAAGAAGAAAGGUUGCAACAGGAAAAUGAAAAAAAGGAUUAUAGCAGUAAAGUGUACUUUACGAAGCAAACCGUGGGUAAUGCUUGUGGUACGAUAAGUCUGCUUCAUGCACUUGGGAACAUAACUUUCGAAGUCAAGCUUGGUAGGCUUUUAACAAUCACAACCUCGGUUUAAGUUUAUAGUGUAUCAACCAUUAUAUCUAUUUAGUUUGUGCUGCUUUUGUUGUUAUCGGUUGAGGGGUCCUUUUUUGACAAGUUCUUUAAAUCUACUGCCAGGAUGGAUCCAUUGUAGUUGGCUGCCUUUCUCGAGAAUGACAGGGAGAUGGAAGUUGCUCAUUCAGUAGUAGCCACUACUGGCGACAUAGUGGUACUAUAUUUGUUAAAUUUAAAGCAACAACAAUUGGGGCGGUAUGAUAUGAUGUAGAGUUCCAUAUCCUCCAAUUAUACUAGGCAGGGAAAGGAACUACUUCCUUCCUAAUAGAGGUGUAUAUGUUCCUGCUGAAUUUAUAAGAGAAUGAUGUGAGUCACCAACCUUAAGGAUGGAGUUUUUGUUUAUACGUGAUUUGACCGGGACUUAAUGGCGGGAGGGUCAUUGUUCGAGAAGAGAAUGCGGGUUCUAUUUCAUAUUCAGUCAUCAUGUUAGGAUUGAGGAACCUAUAAUGCGGAUCCCAACUUUGGCAAUUCACUUGGGCAGGUUAUGAGUACAAAAAUACUCCAUACUGGUUUCGGUUUCUCAAUAAAGAGCUUGUUCGUGUGGCUUCCUUUUCAGACCAUGAAGCUUUUGACCAUCCUGUGAUAUGUGAGAUUUGGCAUCAGUCAGGGUUCUUCUUCUUGUGUUCGUAUUUUCUCUUUCAAAGUUUAUGAUUUAUUCAUGUAAUGUAUCAACUGUAAAAGAUAAUUAGUUAUUAUUUGACAAUUUGAUACUAUAUUUUGACAAUUUAACAGUUGUAUUUGAAUUUUAUCAAAUAUAUAAAAGUUCUAAUUAUUA